Molecule: ribosomal RNA, 207 nt
Filed under: uncultured bacterium
Lineage: Bacteria
Description: partial 16S ribosomal RNA
Rfam family: Bacterial small subunit ribosomal RNA
Source: RNAcentral
UGCGCAGGUGGGCUGGUAAGUUCGAUGUGAAAGCCCCGGGCUUAACCCGGGAAAGGCAUUGGAAACUACUGGUCUGGAGGAUUGGAGGGGGGACUGGAAUUCUUGGUGUAGCAGUGAAAUGCGUAGAUAUCAAGAGGAACACCAGUGGCGAAGGCGAGUCCCUGGACAAUUCCUGACACUGAGGCACGAAAGCUAGGGGAGCAAACA